AGGGUAGUAGUUAUUAAUAACAUCUAAUUUGCAGUUAGAAAGUGCUGUAAAGCUUACCUUA
RNAcentral lists this transfer RNA (61 nucleotides) under Coraebus cavifrons. RNAcentral's name for it is "tRNA-Ala". The record is from RNAcentral. Lineage: Eukaryota; Metazoa; Arthropoda; Insecta; Coleoptera; Buprestidae.